AGAACCAAUCGGAACUCGAGGCGCAGCGGCUGGGUAUUCCAGGAGAGCGCAUGCGCAGACGCAUGGCCACAGACUGCCGGUCAGUGUCAGCAGGCGGUGGGUUAGGGUCCGCAGGCCCAGACCAGGCCGCCGACACCAAUAAGCUACAAGGAGGAGCUUUACCGCUGCCUGUACUACUACUGCCUGCGCUACUUCCCAGCCUGCGGCGUAGGGCGCAGCAAGGGCCUGACGCUUAGCGAGCAGGCGCUGCGCACCAAGCGGCUGUCGCCUGGAGGGCACGUUCAGGCAGAAGCUCCUCAGUGGCCACAAGUCCGCUAGCUCCGGCUACAGCCCUUGCCGCACACUCGCGUCACCUGAGCCUGUGAUGCCGAAGGACCUGUUCAAAGUAUUUUCUGUAACUCCAACUGUAACUUGGUUCUAGGAGGAGAGAAUCCAUGUUUGGUCAACAGAACUUUUCGCCGCCACUUAAGUUUACUGCUUCAAUAUCUUUUCCUUACUAAUUGAUUGUUAAUUAAGUAGUGUCCAAGUGAGUUAGCCUUUUUAGGGUUGAUUAAUUAAAAGAGCAGCAAGAAUGGCAUUUUAACUCUUCUGGUUUUUGGGGUUUUUUUUUCAGUUACUAUGAUAACUCUUUUCAAGUCCACAAAUGAUUUGUUCUUAGCUGUAAAGAAGAGGUCAGAAAUGUAAGUGGGGAGAGAACAAAGAUAGGAAUAUGUGUAAGAUUUCUACCUAAAUGUUGGCAGGGCACGGUAGCUUAUGUCUGUAAUCCCAGCACUUUGGGAGACCUAGGUGGUCGAUCGCCUGGAGUCAGAAGUUCGAGACCAGCCUGGCAAACAUGGCAAAACCCCAUCUCUACUAAAAAUACAAAAA
Long non-coding RNA from Homo sapiens (human), 867 nucleotides. Ensembl annotates it as long intergenic non-protein coding RNA 3011. The record is from Ensembl. NCBI's taxonomy places the organism in Eukaryota, Metazoa, Chordata, Mammalia, Primates, Hominidae.